This 845-nucleotide ribosomal RNA is filed under the name uncultured organism. RNAcentral describes it as "bacterial SSU rRNA". It matches the Rfam family "Bacterial small subunit ribosomal RNA", at positions 76 to 936 of the family's 1533-position model. The record is from RNAcentral.
CCCUUCGGGGAAGGAUUAGCGGCGAACGGGUGAGGAACACGUGAGGAAUCUGCCUUCAACACUGGGAUAACUCCGGGAAACCGGGGCUAAUACCGGAUACGAGACCUGCAGGCAUCUGCGGGUCUGGAAAGUUUUUCGGUUGAAGAUGACCUCGCGGCCUAUCAGCUUGUUGGUGAGGUAAUGGCUCACCAAGGCGACGACGGGUAGCCGGCCUGAGAGGGCGACCGGCCACACUGGGACUGAGACACGGCCCAGACUCCUACGGGAGGCAGCAGUGGGGAAUAUUGGGCAAUGGAGGGAACUCUGACCCAGCGACGCCGCGUGCGGGAUGAAGGCCUUCGGGUUGUAAACCGCUUUCAGCAAGGAAGAAGCGAAAGUGACGGUACUUGCAGAAGAAGCACCGGCUAACUAUGUGCCAGCAGCCGCGGUAAUACAUAGGGUGCAAGCGUUGUCCGGAAUUAUUGGGCGUAAAGAGCUCGUAGGUGGUUCGUCACGUCGGAUGUGAAAAUCUGGGGCUUAACCCCAGACCUGCAUUCGAUACGGGCGAGCUAGAGUGUGGUAGGGGAGACUGGAAUUCCUGGUGUAGCGGUGGAAUGCGCAGAUAUCAGGAGGAACACCAAUGGCGAAGGCAGGUCUCUGGGCCAUUACUGACACUGAGGAGCGAAAGCGUGGGGAGCGAACAGGAUUAGAUACCCUGGUAGUCCACGCCGUAAACGGUGGGCACUAGUUGUGGGAACCUUCCACGGUUUCUGCGACGCAGCUAACGCAUUAAGUGCCCCGCCUGGGGAGUACGAUCGCAAGAUUAAAACUCAAAGGAAUUGACGGGGCCCCGCACAAGCAGCGGA